CAAAACCGUUCAGUGAUUUAUAAACUUUAUGUGCAUCUAUCUUCCUGGUUUUAGUCAGAGCCUGAGCAGCAGCAUUGAGAUUUUUUAGCAGAUUUGAUCAUUUUUCAGAGAAAAAAAAAAAUCUAUUUUUUCAAUUCAGUAAUUGGAAUACUUUUACAAAACAAAUUUAUAAGCAAUGUCUGUUUAACUACAUAGCUAAAAACAAAGUAUUCUCAAUGUAAAUUGAUUUUACUCAGAUAUGUGAUUUCUUGUUUCCACAGAUCCGAACAUCAUCCUUCCCAUCGGUUUAGUGUUUGGUGGAGUGACUGUUCUCUUCGUUAUCAGCGUCACCGUCUACUACAUCUUCAGGAUAGACAUUGUGCUGUGCUUCAGGAGAGCGUUUCCAGUCCUUUAUACAAAUAAAGAUCUUGAUGGCAAGCUGUAUGAUGCUUAUGUGGCAUACCCCAAUCCUGGUGCCUUUGGCUUCAGUGAGGAAGUGGAGAAGUUCGCCCUGCAGACGUUGCCUGAAGUGUUGGAACAGGCCUGUGGCUACAAACUGUUCAUCGCGGGCCGUGACUGCCUGCCGGGGCAGGCCAUCGUGGACUCUGUGGAUGAGAACCUUCAGGCUAGUCGUCGUGUUCUCCUGCUCUACACCGCUUCCACUUUCAUU
Poecilia latipinna (sailfin molly) is the source of this 649-nucleotide long non-coding RNA. RefSeq lists it as uncharacterized. Lineage: Eukaryota; Metazoa; Chordata; Actinopteri; Cyprinodontiformes; Poeciliidae. The transcript has 3 exons. The record is from RefSeq and is a predicted model, not a curated record.